CGGCGCUGUGUCUUUCUUCCUUUUCCCGAUAAGCCCUGGAGACUUUUGUAAUGCAAAUGCAAAUGGAUUUUGAUUCAGAAACCCACCUUCAAAAAAUCAACAAUCCACCCACCAUCUUCUCCUUCUUCCUCCUUCCUCCUCACCUUAAUUCAUAAUCCUUUCUCACCCAAUUCUCUUUCGUCCUCGCUCCUCACUGCUUUUUCCUUCCAUUCUCUCCAUAAACCCUAGAAAAUAGAAACUGUUUUUCUCUCUCUCUCUCUUCCCCUCUCCCUCCUUCUACUACUGCAUUUUUCGUGUGCCAAGGGAUCAGCAAAAACACUGAGGGUGAAAGAAAGCUUCAUAAAUGCAAUAGUAGCUUAAAAGGGUUGGUCCGGAUGGGCGAGACCUUCUGCAAGUUUUGAUCUUUUUGGUUGAUAUCAACAAAUCAGAACGGCCCAGAUCGAAGGAGCUGCUGCGUCUCUGAGAUCUACUCAGGCUUUGCUUUUGAAAGCGUUCUCUGCAACUGCAAAAAAGCUUGAACGAGGGCCUCUCCUUCCUGACUUGGACUGUGAUAUAUCGGAGCGUAAAAAAAAAAAAGGCCUUUUUAUCCCUACAAACCCAGACUAGUCUGAAUUAUCACCAUCAAUGCAAAGGACACACCAACCCCACCUGCACUCUCCUUCCUUCUCUCUCUAAAACUUCUCUCUCACUCUCUAACCCCUCUGUGCCUCUUCUAAAGUGUGAGUUUAAUAACAGACAAGGAAGGAGGGUUUCUUCUAUAGCUUGAGCCGCGCAAAAGGCAUGAUUGUGGUAUGGAGGAGGAUGGGAUUCAAGCACAAGCGUGUAAAUUCCCGAGAAUUGAAAAUGGAAGUGCGAGAAACAAUUCCUCCAACAAGAUAGGUUCCAAUAUUAAUGAAGAAAAUGGUGACCUCAGAAAAAGAAGUGGAGGAGGUAGUGAUGGAAGCAGCAACCGAUUCCACAGUUGGCAACACCACUCGUCUAGAAUCGUUAGGGUUUCUCGUGCCUCCGGCGGGAAGGAUCGGCACAGCAAGGUCAUGACUUCCAAGGGUUUAAGAGACCGAAGGGUUCGGCUCUCUGUCACCACGGCGAUCCAAUUCUACGACCUUCAAGAUCGUCUGGGUUACGAUCAGCCCAGUAAAGCCGUGGAAUGGCUAAUCAAAGCAGCGUCUGAUGCAAUUUCUGAGCUCCCUUCUCUGAACAAUACGUUCCCGGAGACGCCGAAGCAACCCAGCGAUGAGAAGAGAGGAGGUGAGAAAUGUAUCGAUUCAGCUGAUGCAGACGGAGAUGGUGAAGCUGGUUUCCAUCAGCAACAGAAUCAAAAUAAUCAAAGUCAGAAUCUUUCCUUGUCGAAGUCUGCUUGUAGCAGCACGUCGGAGACGAGCAAGGGCUCCGGCUUGUCCCUCUCGAGGACAGAGAUUCGAGUCAAGGCCCGCGAGAGGGCGAGGGAGAGAGCGGCGAAGGAGAAGGAGAAAGAGAAUGAUGAAUCUUGCAAUAUUGCUCAUCCUCAGAAUAAUAAUGUCAUCUCAAUGGCUCAAACUUCUUUCACUGAGCUUCUCACCGGUGGGAUAAACACUAGAGUUCCCGCCACUACUACUAGCCCCACCGGCUCCGCUCAACAGAAUCAUCAUCGGAGUGACGAGGCUGAUCUGUUCAACAAAGGAGCUAGGCAUCAAUGGAGUAUAGCGCCCAUGGACUACUUCGGCGCGGAGCUUCUGGGAGGUUCGUCUUCUUCAAGAACCCAGCAUCAUCAAUCUUCCGGGUUUUCAGGGCAGAUCCAACAGGGGAACAAUCUUGUUCAGGCAAUGUCGCUUGCACCUUUCGGAGUCCAAAGUGAAAACCACUCAGAUCAGCUUCAGCAUUUCUCGUUCAUUCCCGACCAUCUAAUGCCGACAGUGGUCACGUCGUCGCAGACCCCCAGCGGAGGGGGCGGUGGAGGUAGUGGCGCCGGCAGCGAGUACAAUCUUAACUUCACAAUCUCUUCUUCUAAUUCCGGCGGCCUUGCUGGUUUCAACAAUAGUAGGGGGACCCUUCAGUCCAAUUCUCCGUCUCUUCUGCCUCAUCAUCUUCAGAGGUUCUCACCUUUAGACGGAUCGUCCAACUUUCCUUUCUUCAUCGGAGCCGCCGCCGCUCCGGCCAUGGAGAAUCACAACAACAACCACCACCAGUUCUCGCCCGAAUUAGAUGGCCGCUUGCAACUCUGCUACGGCGACGGAAGCCGGCAUUCAGACCAGAAGGGGAAGGGGAAGAACUGACUUCCGAUCGACCACACCCCAUUUCUCGCGAUCCAUCGUCUUCCCGGCUUGACCAAAACAUGAAUAAAUAGGGUGGGUGUGUACGUUGAACAUGGUCUGGUUGACUGGCUCUUCCUAGAUGCCAUAUGGUAGCGUAGCUUUUGCAGGGGUGAAGGGGCUGAGGCUGCUUUGUUGGUAACAAUAAACAAUGUUGGUGUGGUUUUGUUGUAUCUGUGGAGAUUGUCGUGUGGAUCAUGGGACGAUUGAUUGAUUUCAUGCGAGGGAUAGGGGAGAGUAGGACGUAGUAGGUCAUGUGAGUCUGAGGAAUGGCGGAUUUGGAGGUGACAGGGUUUGCGCAGAGAGGAAAGUAAGGGGAGUGCGAAGAAAUAGGAAUAGCGUUUUGGUUUUGCAAUCCCAAUUCGUUUUCCUCACUCCCAAGUCUGCUCCCACAUUACUCUGCUCGGCGCACUGUCUGCUUCUGCAUGCUCACUAGUCACUAGCAUAUGGGCCUUGUUUUUAGUGCUAGAUUUUACUGCUUCAUUGCUAUUUCUUUUUACCUUUUUUUUCAAAGUCAGGGCCUUUCCCCCAAAAAUUUAAAUAUAAAUACUUAUUAUUAUUUCCGCAAGAAAUUUGUGUUUAUUUUAGGAAAAAAGGAAAGAUGUUUGGAUCAUUUUAACAUCUACAGGAAUUUUAUUUACUUAAUUUUUAUAUAUUUAAGGAAUACUGUAUAAUUUAUAAAAAUAGAUGGGAUGUCUAUUAUAAUUGUGAUUUUCUCAAAAUUCCAGAGGGAAUGCAUAUACUUUAUUCAAAAUGGAAAUUCAUUAUAUUCUCUCGUGGUAAGGGGUAGAUUAAGGUGUAAGAAGAGGUCCAGGAUUUAACUCUUCAUGUAUUUUAAAAAAAGAAAUUAAUUACUCCGUCUGCUUAGAAUUAUAAGGAUUUUUUAGUUAAUUUACACUUCUCAUUAGCUAGUUAAUGCCAUUUAAAAUUACAUAUUUUUUUAUAUUUAUCUUUAUUCAAUAGGUUAUCUCAUUUAGAAAACUUUAUAAAUAUAAUUACACCCCUAAUUAAAGAUAUUUUAAAAAAAGGUUAUAUUAAUUAAUUCUUAAAAUACCUUAUAUUUUUUAACAUGUUACCUUAGAAAAGAGUAUGUUAUGUUAUAAAUAUGUGUAAACAUGACACAUUUUACUUAAAGAAUAUCUUAGCUAUACCAGUUUAAUUGGAAGCCUUGAGUUUGAACUUGAAAGGGUUUUGAGCAUACUCGAUCUGGAUUAGUCAGCGCUUUAGCUUGGGACACUUUAUUGUAUUAUAAUUAUAAUAUUUUGGCCAAAUAUUUUAUUAUAAUUAUUGUAUUAUAUAAAGUUAAAAGAUACUUUUAGAGAGGAGAUUUGGCAUUUUAAAAUAUAAGAUAUUUUAAAAAGAUUAAGACUUAUUUUAAUAUUACCGUCUCUCUCUCUAUUUAACUUCCAUCCCUAUUUCUUUUCAAUAUAUUAAAUUAAGAAUAUUUUUAAAAGUUUAUAUUUUUAUUUUAAAAAAGUAAAAUUUUUAAAUGUAUUUAAUUUAAGUUUAUUAUAUGUAAAAUGUUGUCAAAAAGUAUUUUAUAAUUUGGGAGAGAGGGAAUAUAUUAGAAUGCAGUUGUUGGGAUUGGUUUAGAAUUGAGAAUUAUAGUAAAAAGGGGAGCUUUCUCAUAAGGAGUAGGCUGACUUCUCAACCAGGUUAGGUCAUACUCAGGAGGGAAAUUUAAAAAAAAUCCGAGUUUUAAGGAAAUUAGUGUAGGCUUAACUGUAAUGCACUUGGUAAUUACAUAUAGUACAUAGGACCAGUAUUAUCUUUUUCAUCGCUUCUCUCAAGAACCACAACUUCUCGUAACUAAUGAUUAAUAUACACUACUUUAAUACUGACCCAACCCAACACAUGUCCCAUUUUUCAAAUUUAGUAAAAAUAAAUUACAACUAGUAAUAAACAAGGCAGAAAAUUUGCUGGUUUAUUGUCAGCUGAUCCUUCUGCAAAUGUUAUGGGUUGUGGUCUAUGCCUAGGUUUAAGCCAUUUUAUCUUGUGUAACUCAAGAUCUCAACUAUAUGAUCUUUCGAGUAAACGAAUCUUUCCGUGAUUUGUUGGAACCUGGUGUAUUAUUAUUAUUAUUAUUAUUAUUAUUAUUAUUAUUAAUGUUUUUAAACUUAUGAUUAGUGAUAUAGUUAACUGGAAAUAUUGUAAAUGAUAUGAUAAUCAUGCAAGGAAAAUUCACAAUGUAAAAAAGCAGAUAUGUAAUGAAUAUACUUUAUUAUCACUACAAGGAAACGUUGAAAAUAUUAUAAAUAAAUAUUGAAUGCAGCAGUAACGACAUAAUUACCCAAAAAGUCAUUAUUUAACAACCGCCAAUACAUUUAAAUAUUUCAAUUUGGCAUUUUUGUUUGAUUUUUCUAAUAAUUUUUGAAUUAUUGAAUAUGUGUGUGUGUGUAAAUUUAAUUGAAACACAAAUAAUGAUUUCACUUUAAAAAAAAAUUGUUUGUUAAAAGUCGAUAUCCAGUUAUGAUUCAUAUAGCUUUAGCCUUUACGUUUAGGUUAGGUAAUGUACCGUGCAUGAAUUGAGCUUGAGGAAAUUGGCUUGAGCCUUUCUUUUGCAAAAGAUGGCUUGAAUGAUGUUAUCAUGAUUUUAAUCCUGUAUUAUAUACACACAAACAAAAUAAUGUUAGCAUUUAAGGUCCCUCACUCUCUAAGAGCACUUGAACUUAACAUUCCCUCUUGUUAGUUGUAAAAAUAACUGAAGUGAACUUUCCAUUGAUGUUAUUGUUAAUCUUUGGAAAUAUAGUUUGUCUUUUGAUGAUUAACUUGGACAUCCUUAUACUUGCAUUCAUGUUGAACAUGUUAUAUAAAUGUUCUUUACUUGUUUACUUCGAGAGUGGAUUUGACCCAAUAAAUUUAUUGAGUUUGAUUCCCAAGUAACUCAAAUAGCAUAUUGAUCAACAAUGCACUAUAAAUAGAAAGAACACAUUCAUAUUGAUAGUGGCCUCAAUGACUGUGAAUGUCUUAGAUGCGUGUUAGAUGCAUACUCGCUCUUGUUUACAAUAUAAAGUAUUGAUAACUAGUUCAUGGUACUACUAAAAAGAGUUAGUUAAAACUUUAAUGUUUUAAAAUAUUGUACACUUUUUUAAUUAUACCUCUUUAAAUACUCUAUAUAAAUGCCUUAAUAAUGAUAAUUCAAGUUCUGAUAGACCAUUUUUUUAAUGAAAUAAUCAAUAAAAAUAUCCUAUAUUAUGGUACGGAGAGGGUAUAUAUAUAUAUAUAUAUAUUGGGUUUAGAUGGAUAAGUAGUGUUGGAAUUUGGAUGAAAAACAAAAAACUAAAGAAUAGGUUAUUUUGUAGAAGGCUGAAAUUUUAAGAGGGUCACUGGUCAACUUUGAAAGUUGAGAGAGUAAAUUACACAAUCUAUCAAGAUGGGGAGUGCUGUUUUUAUCUUGUCAUGAGAGUUCAAAAAAAAAAAAAGAUUGCCAGCUUAACAGAUGCCGUGAUGAUUCAACUCAAUUGGAAUCGAGAGAGCAAAAGACUACUAAUUGGAAUUGAAAUGACAAAACAAAGUGAUAUAAAUAAACCUUGUGUUCUUGGGAGAGCCAUAGCGUAUUCCUAAUAUUGGUGAGGUUAUAGAUGCUCUGGCCUAUGAACUCUACAUUAGAAUCUCACAGAUUCGUGUCAUGUAAGAGUCACGAAACUGACCUUGAUGCAAAAAGAUUUUAAGCUUAUGAAAAAUACUAAAAAAUUUUCAAUGUUUUGAACUCAUUGUCUAGUACAAAAAUUUAGUUGUUGGAACUCUAGGAUUCAUAAGGAUUAGGGCAGACUUAAAGGUUUAAAAAGCACUUCUAAAUAUACUCAUAAAUUACCGUUCUUUUUCAUUAGGAGCAAGAUUUGAACCCACGCCCUUAUAGAAUAUGAGAUCAGUCCUUAGCUUGUGUGGACCAGUAUUCAUUGGCACUUGAUGAGCUUCCUUUGGUCACUCAUAAGCUGUCGAGUAAGUAGCUCCAAAUUCAGCUGGUAAUUGAGCUUCUUGAAGCCUGAAAUUCUUAAUAUGAUGGUUAACUAUAUCUGAAAUCAGUUCAUGAUUUUCAUUAAAGCGUUCUAUUUGUUCAAAUCUUUUCAUUCUCAGUCCCUAUCUGAAGUUUAAGCUAGUGUCUUCAAAUGUACAGUGAGCUAAGAUGCUUGUCUACAUGAACAGGAGUUGCUAUUAGAAUUUGAAUGUGCUUUUAUUUAAGAAAGCUGUUAGGCUGCAUCCAUGGCUUCUUCCGCCCCUUGAUGGCUGAUUGAGAUUGCUUCUUUUAGAUUCUGUUGAAUACCCACCUUGUCAUGGUUUGCCCUAUGUUGGUACUGAACAGGCCUUGGACCAAAAGCUAGAGCACUAGAUGCAAGCUAUGGCCCACGGUUUGUCUUUGCUGCUGCUACAUCGGAUGGUACAAUGUUGUCACCGGGUGUUGGUAUUCAUGUGUUGAUCAAUUUGAAGUAUCAUUCACUUAAGUUCAGUAUUUGGAUACAUAUAUAUAUAUAUAUAAUUAUCUAUAUUAAUUAAUCUAUGCGUGUUGCAUAUCCCUGUUUCUGGAGAAAUGUAAAAGAAGCUUGAAGUUAUUA
This is an RNA transcript of Prosopis cineraria, 6841 nucleotides long. It is a transcript of the gene named transcription factor TCP2-like, with no coding region annotated. NCBI's taxonomy places the organism in Eukaryota, Viridiplantae, Streptophyta, Magnoliopsida, Fabales, Fabaceae. The record is from RefSeq and is a predicted model, not a curated record. The transcript is spliced from 6 exons.